CGGCAAGGUUGAGUAAUUUGAGGAGCUGAGUCAUAGGACUCAGCUAGGACUAAUUAGUCAUAGGAUGUCACUGAAGUCCAUCCAGAGGCACAAUGUCACACCCUGGGAGCCGCGUGUCACCUGAAGGCUAAGGAGGCCCUCAUCUUCCUCUCUGACCACAUACUGGCCCCUCACUCACUCCGCAGGGGCUCCCCGAGUUCUCUGCGGCUCAGACUCGCCCGGCGUACUCCUCCCACCUGAGGGCUUGGCAUGACUGUCUGGGGGAACAGUCUCCACAUGGAUAAUACCCUCACUUCCUCCAAGUCUGCCCGCCUGUCUCUUCCCAGUGUGGCCAGCCCAGGUCACCCCCACCAGCAACACCCCAAAUCCUCUUUCCUCUCUCCCUCGCAGCUCUUUGCACCUUCCUACACAUCCUGGAAUCCAUGUGUUAACUUCGAAGUUUCUCAGAAGUCACCCCAAUGGAACAGACGCUUCGCGAGGGAUGGCUGUGUGUUGGCUCUGAUCCUGCCCCGGCCCUUGACCCUGCCUGGCCAGGAGGCAUUCAGCUGACAUCUGUGAACUGAAUGAACGAAGCAGCCGGCUGGGGAUGGCCACUGUGAGCACAGACCUGUCGGAUUGUCCCCCAGAUAUAAGCCACAUCAACAAAAGCUCUUUGGGACCAUCAGGAAUGUGAGUCAAAAGGGAUCCUGAAAACAAAAAGGUCGAGGACUACGGCAUGACACCAAGCCAGGCUGCUCCAUCCCGGAGGCCCCACAGGGUUUCAGAAGAGGGCAACUUGGCCAUUUAGACUGGAACGUUCUUCCUGCCCAGCACAGGACUGUCCAUGUUGCAAGGUGUACAGCAACUCUGCUUGAACCUCCAAAAUACCAGGAGGCUCCCCAGUGGAAUUGCUCGGGAGCCACGGCUCUCUGGAUUUCCACUGGCUGCUGGAAUGCGGGGAGCCCCUGGGUUUCCACAGAGGGUGGGCAUUCUGUUCCCCUCCCAGUCCAACGACCCUCUGAGUGCCACGGAGACGUGUGGUUCCUUCAAACCUGGGAGUUCCGUGAAAUUUUGGAAGUCUGCGGUGCCCUGAACCAGGGCACAUGACCUACAGACGUUUGCAGACAACCAGAAUUUCAAGAUGCUUGUUUGUGCCGUAGGCACAGAUGUUUCCCCUGGGAAUUACUGACGCCCUGAUUUCAUGAAUGGACUUGAGGUCAGCCUGAGGCUCCAGGCCAGCCUGUGCACAGCAGCUGGAGCUCCUUCCUUAACUGUUCCCAGAACACCACUCCCAAGAAAGCAAGGCCCUGAGAACGUCUCUCCCUCACGUCACCAACGGCUCCACUGUCCCGGCUUCGUGUCCCCGCCUUAGUGUCUCCAGCCCUCCCGCACUUGUCACCAUCACUCCUCGUGCCUCCCUGACCUGCACGCUGGGCCCAGCUGUAAGCAGAGCCACUUGCCAUCACAAGAUCCCACUGCUGCUGCCCCCGGGCCUUUGCACGGUCCCUCUCCUAGUCCCAGCAGGAUUGUCUUCCAGCUCUUGUUCCC
Molecule: long non-coding RNA, 1527 nt
Filed under: Equus asinus (donkey)
Lineage: Eukaryota; Metazoa; Chordata; Mammalia; Perissodactyla; Equidae
Description: lncRNA (ENSEASG00005035782.1)
Source: RNAcentral